UGUACGUACGUUUUAUGAACAUGAUCAUGUGCCAACUCGUUUUAAUAACACACUUUUUUCUCUCCUUUUCUUGCCCCAAAAAUGAAGCUCUAUAUAUAUUUACUUAAACUUGUGCUUAUAAUUGUAAUAACACUCCAACAAUUACUACUAUCAUAUAUUAUGUUUAGCAAUAAACUAUUUUUAUAUAUUUUUGACGUAACUUUUAUUAUUAUUUUAACAUUUUAUUUAGCUAGUUCUAAAAAUAACAUACAUAUAUAUAGUAUAUAUAUAUAUAUUAUAGUAACAAAAAUAACUAUAAUUUAUUUUAUUUCUAUUCCUAAUAGUAUUAUUCAUAAUAAAAGUAUUUAUACAUAUUAUAUAAAAUAUUUUAAUGAUGUUUUAUAUUUAAUAUAUGCAGUUACGUUUACUUUAUUAAUUACAGUAAUUGUAUAUAUUAUUUUUUUUUAUAUAACAAAUUAUAAUUUAUUAUCAAUUGAUACUAUUACUGUUGAAAACAUUUUAUUUCUUAUUAUAGCUGUAUAUGUAUCCAUAGAUAUAAUAGAUAUAUCUGAUUUUUUUUAUAAUUCUUAUUUAUAUUUUUUAUAUUAUUAUUUUAGAUUAAAAGAUGAAUAUAUUAUGCUUUCUAAUAUAAAGUUGUUUGAACAACAAUUUUUUAAAGAAAAAAAUAUUAGCAAAUUUUAUAUUACUACAACAAAUAUAACUGAAAUAUUUUAUAUCACUAUAGGCAUUUUAAUAUCUUUAAAUGUGUUUAUACAUGCAUAUUCUUUACCUAAUUAUUCACAUGAGGCUAACAUACAACAGAUUGGUUUUAUUAAAAACUCAGUAAAAAAAAAAAAAAAAUAUAAUGAAAAACAAUGUAAUGAAAAACAAUGUAAUGAAAAACAAUAUAAUGCAAAACAAUAUAAUACAAAACAAUAUAAUGCAAAACAAUAUAAUGCAAAACAAUAUAAUGCAAAAUAUAGGAACAAGUAUAAACAUAACAAUAAUAACAAUAAAAAUUAUAAUUUUAUUAAGAGUUACAAUUAUGAUCAUAUAAAUCCUAAAGCUAGUAAUAAUUUUAAAUCAAAAUUAUUAACAGAUUUCCAAUUUAACAGACCCAAAUCAAAUAUAUGUAAUAAAAAAAGUAGAUCCGAAUCCAUAAUAAAAGCUUUAACAAACCAGAAACUUCCUGCUAAUACAACAUCAACUUUAACGACAGUUCCACAUUCGACAUCAGACAUACAACCAUAUGCUACAACUCCAAAAAUAAUUAAUAUAUCACAGAAACACAUAUAUAACAACUUUAAAAUCAAUAACGAAUUUUCUAAAACAUAUAAUAUUACUUCUAACACACAACAUUACGAUGAAUAUUUUUUAAAAAAAACAUAUUAUGAUUCAAAAAUUAGUGGGGACGCAUUAUCUUGUUUGAAAUAUAUUAGUGUAUGUAGUUUUAUUUUUACCAACUUAAAUUUUUGUUUCGUUAGACUAAUGAAUAUAUUGUUAUUUUCUGAGUUAUUGUCUUCCUCAUUCUUUAUCAUAAAAAACAUCUGCUUCAUUGCUAUAUGCAUCUUAAGGAUGUACAGAAAGUCCAAGUAUAAUAAAGGAUUGAAUUACAAAAAAAAAAAAAAUAAAAAUAAAAUAAAAAAUUUAUAUUCUAAAAUAGAUAAUAAUGACAUUUUUGCUAUGAACAAAAACAAUCAAUCCGAAAUGGAAAACUUUGACGACGAAAGUAACGCCCAAGUUAGACACUGGUAUGGUGGAUGUACGUAUAAGUCAUAUACACUUAAUACAAGGAAACUUCAAAAAAGAAACACAAAUGAAAUUUCUUACACUUUUGAAACUUAUAAAACAAAAAGUUCUAUAUUACAAAAUAGUUAUGAUAGUAAAAUAUUAUUUUCUAAAACUAUUGGUUUUAAUGAUUUUAUAAAUAUACAAGAUAUAGAACAUAGUGAAUAUAAUAAAUGUACUAGUUUAAAAUAUAAUCAUAUAAAGUUUUAUUUUAAUUUUUUAUAUUUAAAAUAUAAUGGACUUAAUAUAAAAAAAUAUAUAACCUACUACUUCGAUAAUAUAUCUAGACAAUCAUUCAAAUAUUCAUUUUUUUUUUUUUUUUUUAUUUUAUUAAUAGCUAUAAAAAUAACCAUUAUUGUUAUAACAUAUAUUUUUGAUUUUGAUCAGGAUUUUCAAAUAAAAUUAUAUGAUUUGACUUUUAAUUAUAACAUAAAAGUUAUCGAUGAAUGUCUAAUGCUACAAAUUAUUUUUUUUAUUAUUUCUUUUUAUACUAUUUCUAUUUUUGUUAUAUAUACUUUAACUUGUUCAUUCUUUGAUGCCCUUUUUAUGUCGCUUUUACAUUUUUCAGAUCUUAUUUCGUUUGUAUUUAUUCUAAUUAUAUUAUCACAGAUUAACUCGGGGUUAGUAAUGUUUAUUCACAUGAGUCGGAACAAAAAUAUCAUGCCCAUGUUGUUUAUAUUCGUGCGAAUGGUAUAUCUUCUUCUUUCCGACUCCUAUAUUUUCAUUAAUAUGAUUCUUGGAAGAAUAUACAUUACCUAUAAUUAUAAAACGAAAGAGAGAAAAGACAUACACAGUGAUGCAAAUUCAUAUGGUAAUGUUUCAGUUACCAUAUCAAUAAUAUCAUUAUUAAUAUUUAAGUUAAUAAAAUAUAUGAACGGACCCCUUAUAUUAAAUAAAAUUAUUAUAGGCAAUAAUCUUAUCAAGAACACUAGAGUUGAUAAUUUUUUUUAUUUUAGACAUAUUAAAACCAUUAUACAAAAACUAAUUGUUUAUUUUUUAUGCUUUAUUUUUUGUUUUAAUAUUA
This is a long non-coding RNA of Piliocolobus tephrosceles (Ugandan red Colobus), 2791 nucleotides long. Lineage: Eukaryota; Metazoa; Chordata; Mammalia; Primates; Cercopithecidae. The record is from Ensembl.